CCUACGGGGGGCUGCAGUGGGGAAUAUUGGACAAUGGGGGGAACCCUGAUCCAGCGACGCCGCGUGAGUGAAGAAGUAUUUCGGUAUGUAAAGCUCUAUCAGCAGGGAAGAAAAUGACGGUACCUGACUAAGAAGCCCCGUCUAAAUACGUACCAGCAGCCGCGGUAAUACGUAGGGAGCAAGCGUUAUCCGGAUUUACUGGGUGUAAAGGGAGCGUAGACGGCAGCACAAGUCUGGAGUGAAAUGCCGGGGCUUAACCCCGGAACUGCUUUGGAAACUGGGCAGCUAGAGUGCAGGAGAGGUAAGUGGAAUUCCUAGUGUAGCGGUGAAAUGCGUAGAUAUUAGGAGGAACACCAGUGGCGAAGGCGGCUUACUGGACUGUAACUGACGUUGAGGCUCGAAAGCGUGGGGAGCAAACAGGAUUAGAUACCCGGGUAGUC
Molecule: ribosomal RNA, 440 nt
Filed under: uncultured bacterium
Lineage: Bacteria
Description: partial 16S ribosomal RNA
Rfam family: Bacterial small subunit ribosomal RNA
Source: RNAcentral